GCUGCUGUAGCUCAGUUGGUAAGAGCGUCGGGCGCGCAAUCCGAAGGUCGCAGGUUCGGUCCCUGCCAGCCGCC
Molecule: transfer RNA, 74 nt
Filed under: Rhipicephalus sanguineus (brown dog tick)
Lineage: Eukaryota; Metazoa; Arthropoda; Arachnida; Ixodida; Ixodidae
Description: transfer RNA alanine (anticodon CGC)
Source: RNAcentral